This 496-nucleotide ribosomal RNA is filed under the name uncultured bacterium. RNAcentral describes it as "partial 16S ribosomal RNA". It matches the Rfam family "Bacterial small subunit ribosomal RNA", at positions 28 to 506 of the family's 1533-position model. The record is from RNAcentral.
GACGAACGCUGGCGGCGUGCCUAAUACAUGCCAGUAGAACGCUGAAGAGAGGAGCUUGCUCUUCUUGGAUGAGUUGCGAACGGGUGAGUAACGCGUAGGUAACCUGCCUUGUAGCGGGGGAUAACUAUUGGAAACGAUAGCUAAUACCGCAUAACAAUGGAUGACACAUGUCAUUUAUUUGAAAGGGGCAAUUGCUCCACUACAAGAUGGACCUGCGUUGUAUUAGCUAGUAGGUGAGGUAAUGGCUCACCUAGGCGACGAUACAUAGCCGACCUGAGAGGGUGAUCGGCCACACUGGGACUGAGACACGGCCCAGACUCCUACGGGAGGCAGCAGUAGGGAAUCUUCGGCAAUGGGGGCAACCCUGACCGAGCAACGCCGCGUGAGUGAAGAAGGUUUUCGGAUCGUAAAGCUCUGUUGUAAGUCAAGAACGGGUGUGAGAGUGGAAAGUUCACACUGUGACGGUAGCUUACCAGAAAGGGACGGCUAACUACGU